RNAcentral lists this ribosomal RNA (491 nucleotides) under uncultured bacterium. RNAcentral describes it as "bacterial SSU rRNA". It matches the Rfam family "Bacterial small subunit ribosomal RNA", at positions 28 to 507 of the family's 1533-position model. The record is from RNAcentral.
GAUGAACGCUAGCUACAGGCUUAACACAUGCAAGUCGAGGGGCAGCAUGAACUUAGCUUGCUAAGUUUGAUGGCGACCGGUGCACGGGUGAGUAACACGUAUCCAACCUUCCGUUUACUCAGGGAUAGCCUUUCGAAAGAAAGAUUAAUACCUGAUAGUAUGGUGAGAUUGCAUGAUAGCACCAUUAAAGAUUUAUUGGUAAACGAUGGGGAUGCGUUCCAUUAGGUAGUAGGCGGGGUAACGGCCCACCUAGCCGACGAUGGAUAGGGGUUCUGAGAGGAAGGUCCCCCACAUUGGAACUGAGACACGGUCCAAAACUCCUACGGGAGGCAGCAGUGAGGAAUAUUGGUCAAUGGGCGAGGGCCUGAACCAGCCAAGUAGCGUGAAGGAUGAAGGUCCUACGGAUUGUAAACUUCUUUUAUACGGGAAUAAAGUGAGUCUCGUGAGACUUUUUGCAUGUACCUUAUGAAUAAGGACCGGCUAAUUCCGUG